This is a long non-coding RNA of Oreochromis niloticus (Nile tilapia), 607 nucleotides long. RefSeq lists it as uncharacterized. The record is from RefSeq and is a predicted model, not a curated record. Lineage: Eukaryota; Metazoa; Chordata; Actinopteri; Cichliformes; Cichlidae. The transcript has 5 exons.
AAAGCCUCUACUCAGCUGUAUUUUUGUUACUAAUUUAUGUUUGUUGUUGUUUAACACAGAUUUCAGAAGAGCAAAGAUGAGCACUGUUGCUUAAUCCUUAAUAGUUUAACUGGAUUGGAAAUCAAAAAAAUCCAGAUUCUUCUUCCACAGAAGUUUCAUUUGUCAGUGUGGGACUGCUGAGUCACCUGAAGAACUCAUUUCAGUCUCCACAUGAUGUUCAUUUACAGAAAUGUUUCACAGGAACUGAUUCCUCCCAAAAGGUACAGUACGUGAUAUUAAGGGCAGGCGGUCAUCACUGGGGGAAGACAAGAAGCAGACGUACUUCCAAGAGGGAGCUGCAGUGAGGACACAGCCUGGUCACUGAGGUCAGAGGAGGCGCUGAAAGGUUUCCCUAAUAGUUCCUGGUGAAUCAAAGCAGAACCAUAAAGGUUGCUGGACUGCAUCGUGGCCUUACCCCUGAGCAGUCAUCCUGUUAAAGGAGGAACCAGUUAGAAGCUGUUUUCAAAGCAGAUUUCAUCUCGACAGACAAAGCCGAUGGCAGAAGAUGUUUGGAGAAGAACUUCAGGCCGUGUACUGACAAGAUCAAAGCAGCUCGUGCUCUGUCUGC